GGCUGACCUCGAACUCGCAGCACUCCUCCUGCCUCCGCCUCGGACUGCUGGGAUUACAAGCCUGUUCCGCCACAGCUGGCUCUCUUAACAGUUUUUAGGGUUAACAGUCAGCUCCAGAUUUGAGGAAAUUGAAGAAUGUGCAGGAACUUUUACUUCCAUUGCAGGUCCCAAAGAUGAGGACUCCAGUAAGGUACCCAGUGGAAGCGCCUCUCAGCAGGCAUCGGCCGACUUCAGGAGGCUCCUGAUCAACAGGUAGAAGGGUAGGAAGGCGGUGGAGGAUUGUAGGUUGUAGCUUCAGAAAACUUCCCCUCCUGGGGCUGCCUCUUUGGGUUGUGUGUGUUUAGUGGGGGGAAUCCUAAUCUAACAGAUUUGAUACUUUUCCGACACAAGGGUUCCCUAAAGGGGAAGGGCCAGAAGAGAAAAAGGAGCCAUUGGUCCUCUUCCUGUGUUGGAACCUGACAUGCUAAGGUCAAU
Heterocephalus glaber (naked mole-rat) is the source of this 474-nucleotide long non-coding RNA. The record is from Ensembl. Lineage: Eukaryota; Metazoa; Chordata; Mammalia; Rodentia; Bathyergidae.